This 494-nucleotide ribosomal RNA is filed under the name uncultured bacterium. RNAcentral describes it as "partial 16S ribosomal RNA". It matches the Rfam family "Bacterial small subunit ribosomal RNA", at positions 28 to 507 of the family's 1533-position model. The record is from RNAcentral.
GACGAACGCUGGCGGCGUGCUUAACACAUGCAAGUCGAACGGUGAAGCGCCUUCCUUUUUGGUGGGUGUGGAUGAGUGGCGAACGGGUGAGUAACACGUGAGUAACCUGCCCCCUUCUUCUGGAUAACCGCAUGAAAGUGUGGCUAAUACGGGAUAUUCUGGGUCUGUCGCAUGAUGGGUCUGGGAAAGAUAUUGUUUCGGUGGGGGAUGGGCUCGCGGCCUAUCAGCUUGUUGGUGGGGUGAUGGCCUACCAAGGCGGUGACGGGUAGCCGGCCUGAGAGGGUGGACGGUCACACUGGGACUGAGACACGGCCCAGACUCCUACGGGAGGCAGCAGUGGGGAAUAGUGCACAAUGGGCGCAAGCGUGAUGCAGCGACGCCGCGUGAGGGAUGGAGGCCUUCGGGUUGUGAACCUCUUUCGCCAGUGAAGCAGGCCUGCCUCGUUUGUGGGUGGGUUGACGGUAGCUGGAUAAGAAGCGCCGGCUAACUACGUG